Molecule: non-coding RNA, 142 nt
Organism: Gossypium hirsutum (cotton)
Lineage: Eukaryota; Viridiplantae; Streptophyta; Magnoliopsida; Malvales; Malvaceae
Source: Rfam
UAUUAAAAAUUUCAUCAAUUUCUAUUAAAAACUGGUGUAGCUGACAAAAUAACCAUACAGUUACACAUAACAUCCUAUGCGCACCUCAUACGGAUAUACAUAGACCAGUGUUUAAUAGUAGAAAUAGAUAAAAUUUUUAACA